RNAcentral lists this long non-coding RNA (575 nucleotides) under Musa acuminata (dwarf banana). RNAcentral describes it as "long non-coding RNA (MACU_LNC009700)". Lineage: Eukaryota; Viridiplantae; Streptophyta; Magnoliopsida; Zingiberales; Musaceae. The record is from RNAcentral.
UGUGGGUGGGGGGCAGCAGGCGAAACCUCGACUCGAGGCGGAGGCACCGGCACCGUUCUCAAGUAAGCUAACAAACAGACCCCAAGAGUAAGCUAAUGCACCCGCUCACUCUAGUAAGGGCAGUAUAGUCUCUGAUUCUCUCCUCGACUUACCAAAACAAGCACUUAUUGUGGAAUAUAAAUCUAUCUCGCUUAUGACACGCGCACCUUUCCUUUCUUAUUGCCCGGCCCAAAGCUUCUUUCUCUCUUCCAUCCUGCAUAAGAAGAUUGAUUGGCAACUUCCUGCUAUCCCCAUACUUCUGUUAGUAAAUUACUUGAGCACGGCUUCUGCUUCAUCUGGGCAUUCCGCUUCUAUUCUAUCUUGGGCAUUUGAUUCGGCUGAGGCUUCUGAUCUAGUAGACUACACUCGAACAGCAUUUUUGGUUGCUCGUUUGCGCUGAAUGAGAUUUCCCUGAUGCACUUGUUAUAGUUGGGUCUGGACUUGUACUGUCUUCAUCAUUAAUGGAAUAAAAGACUUGGGCUGGGCCCUUCUCCUUAUAACCAAGUCCUUUGUUUGGUGUUCGCUUCUCUUAGCAC